GUUCCUGUAGCUCAGUCGGUAGAGCGCGGCUCUCCUAAAGCUGAGGUCGUGGGUUCAAGUCCCACCUGGAACG
Molecule: transfer RNA, 73 nt
Rfam family: tRNA
About the family: Transfer RNA (tRNA) molecules are approximately 80 nucleotides in length.
Source: Rfam